Molecule: ribosomal RNA, 497 nt
Filed under: uncultured bacterium
Lineage: Bacteria
Description: partial 16S ribosomal RNA
Rfam family: Bacterial small subunit ribosomal RNA
Source: RNAcentral
GAUGAACGCUGGCGGCGUGCCUAAUACAUGAAAGUCGAGCGAACGGACGAGAAGCUUGCUUCUCUGAUGUUAGCGGCGGACGGGUGAGUAACACGUGGAUAACCUACCUAUAAGACUGGGAUAACUUCGGGAAACCGGAGCUAAUACCGGAUAAUAUUUUGAACCGCAUGGUUCAAAAGUGAAAGACGGUCUUGCUGUCACUUAUAGAUGGAUCCGCGCUGCAUUAGCUAGUUGGUAAGGUAACGGCUUACCAAGGCAACGAUGCAUAGCCGACCUGAGAGGGUGAUCGGCCACACCGGAACUGAGACACGGUCCAGACUCCUACGGGAGGCAGCAGUAGGGAAUCUUCCGCAAUGGGCGAAAGCCUGACGGAGCAACGCCGCGUGAGUGAUGAAGGUCUUCGGAUCGUAAAACUCUGUUAUUAGGGAAGAACAUAUGUGUAAGUAACUGUGCACAUCUUGACGGUACCUAAACAGAAAGCCACGGCUAACUUCGUG